RNAcentral lists this long non-coding RNA (238 nucleotides) under Phoenix dactylifera (date palm). RNAcentral describes it as "long non-coding RNA (PDAC_LNC001770)". The record is from RNAcentral. Lineage: Eukaryota; Viridiplantae; Streptophyta; Magnoliopsida; Arecales; Arecaceae.
GUGGUGAUCAGUUGGACCUUUGAUUGAGUAACAUUUAUUUUUUUUGAUUGACCUCCUCCCUGCGGGAGGUCAAAUUCAAGUUGCAAUUAAACUUUGUUUUGUUAAGUUUUUUUAUUGUGAUUCGACAUAACAUAAACGUUGUUAUAAAUUUUCUGCGUUGAAGUUGGUAGUUCUUCCAAAGGAGGAGCUCGAUUCAAUUUAUAUAUAUCGAUUCGUUUUUCCAGGUACUUCCGACUUG